This 215-nucleotide long non-coding RNA is filed under the name Gossypium barbadense (sea-island cotton). Its description in RNAcentral is "long non-coding RNA (GBAR_LNC015226)". Lineage: Eukaryota; Viridiplantae; Streptophyta; Magnoliopsida; Malvales; Malvaceae. The record is from RNAcentral.
GAGAAUUGUUCAACUAAAAAAUUUGAUUAAAGAAUUUUCUUGAAAAAUUAAUUUGGAAAUUCUUAGUGAUUUUUGGGAACAUUAAUUUUGAUAAAAUAAAAUAAAUAAAAUUAAUAUAAUAUUUUCGAAAAUUAAUUUUCAAGUCAGAAAAUUGGCACAAUGGGUAAUUGAUUUUGAAAAUUGGACCUAAGAUAAAAAAAAUUGGGCCCAAGAAC